This 431-nucleotide ribosomal RNA is filed under the name uncultured bacterium. RNAcentral's name for it is "partial 16S ribosomal RNA". It matches the Rfam family "Bacterial small subunit ribosomal RNA", at positions 29 to 507 of the family's 1533-position model. The record is from RNAcentral.
AACGAACGCUGGCGGCAGGCCUAACACAUGCAAGUCGAGCGCCCCGCAAGGGGAGCGGCGGACGGGUGAGUAACGCGUGGGAAUAUGCCCUUUGCUACGGAAUAGUCUCGGGAAACUGGGGGUAAUACCGUAUACGCCCUUUGGGGGAAAGAUUUAUCGGCGAAGGAUUAGCCCGCGUUGGAUUAGGUAGUUGGUGGGGUAAUGGCCUACCAAGCCGACGAUCCAUAGCUGGUUUGAGAGGAUGAUCAGCCACACUGGGACUGAGACACGGCCCAGACUCCUACGGGAGGCAGCAGUGGGGAAUCUUAGACAAUGGGGGCAGCCCUGAUCUAGCCAUGCCGCGUGAGUGAUGAAGGCCUUAGGGUUGUAAAGCUCUUUCAGCUGGGAAGAUAAUGACGGUACCAGCAGAAGAAGCCCCGGCUAACUCCGUG